RNAcentral lists this ribosomal RNA (425 nucleotides) under uncultured bacterium. RNAcentral describes it as "bacterial SSU rRNA". It matches the Rfam family "Bacterial small subunit ribosomal RNA", at positions 356 to 773 of the family's 1533-position model. The record is from RNAcentral.
GGGGAAUUUUGGACAAUGGGCGCAAGCCUGAUCCAGCCAUGCCGCGUGCGGGAAGAAGGCCAUCGGGUUGUAAACCGCUUUUGUCAGGGAAGAAACGGUCCGCGCUAAUACCGUGGGCUAAUGACGGUACCUGAAGAAUAAGCACCGGCUAACUACGUGCCAGCAGCCGCGGUAAUACGUAGGGUGCAAGCGUUAAUCGGAAUUACUGGGCGUAAAGCGUGCGCAGGCGGUUAUGCAAGACAGAUGUGAAAUCCCCGGGCUCAACCUGGGAACCGCAUUUGUGACUGCAUGACUUGAGUACGGUAGAGGGGGAUGGAAUUCCGCGUGUAGCAGUGAAAUGCGUAGAUAUGCGGAGGAACACCGAUGGCGAAGGCAAUCCCCUGGACCUGUACUGACGCUCAUGCACGAAAGCGUGGGGAGCAAAC